CGUCUAUAUACGUAUAGCAUAUCAAUAAGCGGAGGAAAAGAAACUAACUAGGAUUCCCUCAGUAACGGCGAGUGAAGCGGGAGGAGCUCAAAUUUGAAAUCUUCAAGGUUCUACCUUGACGAAUUGUAGUUUAAAGAAGUGUUUUCUGUUGGAGUUUUGGUAAAAGUUCUUUGGAAUAGGACAUCAUAGAGGGUGAGAAUCCCGUAUUUGACCAUUAUUUCAACUUUGUGAUACACUUUCAAAGAGUCGGAUUGUUUGGGAAUGCAGUCCAAAAUGGGUGGUAAAUUUCAUCUAAAGCUAAAUAUUGGCGAGAGACCGAUAGCGAACAAGUACCGUGAGGGAAAGAUGAAAAGAACUUUGAAAAGAGAGUUAAACAGUACGUGAAAUUGUCAAAAGGGAAGCGUUUGACACCAGUGUUGUUUUCUCGAAAAUCAAUUAAAAAUGGCGGGAUUUUGUGUUGUAUUGACUUUAUCAGCUUUCUGCACUUUUUUCCUAUCUUUUUUAAUGCACUUUUCGUUUAACAAGUCAACAUCAAUUUCUUUUGUUGUAAAAGAGUCAUUGGAAGGUGGCUUUCUUUUCGGAGAAAGUGUUUAUAGCCUUUGACUUCUGCAGUCGGAGAGAUUGAGGUCUGCAGCGUAGAUCCUUCGGGGUUAGAUACAUUUGUGCUAAGUUAUAGCCUUUCAUAGACAACUUGUUGACUAUGAUCAGUCAUGUAGCUUACUCGCUUAUGUUAUUUUACCUACGCUUAGGAUGUUGACGAUCAGCUGAGCGCG
This 773-nucleotide ribosomal RNA is filed under the name uncultured Neocallimastigales. RNAcentral describes it as "partial large subunit ribosomal RNA". It matches the Rfam family "Eukaryotic large subunit ribosomal RNA", at positions 26 to 627 of the family's 3401-position model. Lineage: Eukaryota; Fungi; Neocallimastigomycota; Neocallimastigomycetes; Neocallimastigales. The record is from RNAcentral.